AAGGCCGUUUUAUAGUCGUGCGUAAACUCGUGCGUACCCCAGCAGACCCCUCUGCGUCUACGCAGUAGCCUGAC
Molecule: long non-coding RNA, 74 nt
Organism: Sander lucioperca (pikeperch)
Lineage: Eukaryota; Metazoa; Chordata; Actinopteri; Perciformes; Percidae
Exons: 3
Source: RefSeq, a predicted model, not a curated record